This 428-nucleotide ribosomal RNA is filed under the name Bacteroidota bacterium. RNAcentral describes it as "Bacteroidetes bacterium partial 16S ribosomal RNA". It matches the Rfam family "Bacterial small subunit ribosomal RNA", at positions 355 to 776 of the family's 1533-position model. The record is from RNAcentral. Lineage: Bacteria; Pseudomonadati; Bacteroidota.
UAGGGAAUCUUCCGCAAUGGACGCAAGUCUGACGGAGCAACGCCGCGUGAGUGAAGAAGGAUUUCGGUUCGUAAAACUCUGUUGUUAGAGAAGAACAGCGCAUAGAGUAACUGUUAUGCGUGUGACGGUAUCUAACCAGAAAGGGACGGCUAACUACGUGCCAGCAGCCGCGGUAAUACGUAGGUCCCGAGCGUUGUCCGGAUUUAUUGGGCGUAAAGCGAGCGCAGGCGGUUAGAAAAGUUUGAAGUGAAAGGCAGUGGCUCAACCAUUGUAGGCUUUGGAAACUGUUUAACUUGAGUGCAGAAGGGGAGAGUGGAAUUCCAUGUGUAGCGGUGAAAUGCGUAGAUAUAUGGAGGAACACCGGUGGCGAAAGCGGCUCUCUGGUCUGUAACUGACGCUGAGGCUCGAAAGCGUGGGGAGCGAACAGG